GACGAACGCUGGCGGCGUGCUUAACACAUGCAAGUCGAACGGAAAGGCCCUGCUUUUGUGGGGUGCUCGAGUGGCGAACGGGUGAGUAACACGUGAGUAACCUGCCCUUGACUUUGGGAUAACUUCAGGAAACUGGGGCUAAUACCGGAUAGGAGCUCCUGCUGCAUGGUGGGGGUUGGAAAGUUUCGGCGGUUGGGGAUGGACUCGCGGCUUAUCAGCUUGUUGGUGGGGUAGUGGCUUACCAAGGCUUUGACGGGUAGCCGGCCUGAGAGGGUGACCGGCCACAUUGGGACUGAGAUACGGCCCAGACUCCUACGGGAGGCGGCGGUGGGGAGAAUUGCACAAUGGGCGGAGGCCUGAUGCGGCAACGCCGCGUGCGGGAUGACGGCCUUCGGGUUGUAAACCGCUUUCGCCUGUGACGAGGCGUGAGUGACGGUAAUGGGUAAAGAAGCACCGGCUAACUCCGUG
RNAcentral lists this ribosomal RNA (468 nucleotides) under uncultured bacterium. RNAcentral's name for it is "partial 16S ribosomal RNA". It matches the Rfam family "Bacterial small subunit ribosomal RNA", at positions 28 to 507 of the family's 1533-position model. The record is from RNAcentral.